GAUGAAGAACGCAGCGAAAUGCGAUAAGUAAUGUGAAUUGCAGAAUUCAGUGAAUCAUCAAAUCUUUGAACGCACCUUGCGCCUUUUGGUAUUCCGAAAGGCACACCUGUUUGAGCGUCAUGAAUACCUCAAUCUCCAUCUUUUCUUCGGAUUGAUGGGUGACUUGGAUGUUGAGCCCUGCUGGUAUGCUAUAUCAGCUGGCUUUAAACUUAUUAGCCGGCUCUGUACUGGAUCGGUUUGACUCGACGUGAUAAUAUUAUCGUUGAGGAUGCAUGUCUCAUGCAGCCGGAAAGUAUCAAAGCAGCUUCUAGCUUGCCUUUAGUGCACUUUUACAUUUUAGACCUCAGAUCAGGUGGGACUACCCGCUGAACUUAAGCAUAUCAAUAAGCGGAGGA
RNAcentral lists this unclassified non-coding RNA (395 nucleotides) under soil metagenome. RNAcentral's name for it is "partial contains 5.8S ribosomal RNA, internal transcribed spacer 2, and large subunit ribosomal RNA". The stretch from base 1 to 120 matches the Rfam family "5.8S ribosomal RNA", at positions 35 to 154 of the family's 154-position model. The record is from RNAcentral.